This 32-nucleotide non-coding RNA is filed under the name Homo sapiens (human). The record is from RNAcentral. Lineage: Eukaryota; Metazoa; Chordata; Mammalia; Primates; Hominidae.
CGGGAGGCCCGGGUUCGGUUCCCGGCCAAUGC